Long non-coding RNA from Pyrus x bretschneideri (Chinese white pear), 768 nucleotides. RefSeq lists it as uncharacterized. The record is from RefSeq and is a predicted model, not a curated record. The transcript has 2 exons. Lineage: Eukaryota; Viridiplantae; Streptophyta; Magnoliopsida; Rosales; Rosaceae.
ACCCUAUUUCUUUGAUAACCGCACAUCAAUCUCCCAUAUUUUCUCCUCCUUUCACGGCACAAAGUUCCCCAUCUCCCUUUUCCUUCAUAUUUCUUGUCCUGCUCUCUCUUUCUUUCCGAGAUAUUUUUUCUCUUAUUUCCUUCUCCAUUGCUUCUUAAUAUUGCUACCCUUCAGUAUCGUUUGAUUAAAUUUUUUUUUUUUCUCUCGAUCUGCUAUUUAGCAGGUAUAUUUGACGGGGUGUGAAGAAUUUGAAGUGAAAUUGGUUAUAAAUCUCUUGGUUGUGUUCUUUAUUUAUCUUUUCUGUUUUAUUUUUGUAUACAUUAGAUGAUGAAUUUCAUCAUGAAUCCAGAUUGGAUGAAUUAGGUUUGAUUUUUCUGUUUGUUUUGCAGGUUUUGUAUGCUAUUCGUAUUGCGAUGGGUGGAUGUUUAUCCUCGUUUCUUUUCAUAAAUAGAUCAAAGAAUGGAUCAUGGAAGAUGCAUCAUUUUGGUGUAUUUGUAGAAAUUGAUCAUGGAAGACGCAUCAUUUUGUUGUUGGGAAUCAAAAGACCGGGUGCUGAUUAAAUAUAAGAAAGUUUUCAAACUUUUUUCAUUAAUUUUCCUUAGAUAUAAGUUUUGCUAUAGUCCCUUAUGUACUACUUUCUGAUUUUUAUUUGUAAUUAUCCAUCAUGUGUCGAUCGAAGUUUUUUUUUUUUUUUUUUUGGUAACUAUCAAUCGAAGUUUAAUCUUGUAUAUCUAAAGAGUUUUGAAUGAAAAUUAAAUUUUGAUUCUA